Molecule: ribosomal RNA, 457 nt
Filed under: uncultured bacterium
Lineage: Bacteria
Description: bacterial SSU rRNA
Rfam family: Bacterial small subunit ribosomal RNA
Source: RNAcentral
UACGGAAGGCAGCAGGGGGAAUAUUGCACAAUGGGCGAAAGCCUGAUGCAGCUAUGCCGCGUGUAUGAAGAAGGCCUUAGGGUUGUAAAGUACUUUCAUCGGGGAGGAAAAAACAAAACUAAUAAUUUUAUUUCUUGACGUUACCCGAAAAAGAAGCACCGGCUAACUCCGUGCCAGCAGCCGCGGUAAUACGGAGGGUGCUAGCGUUAAUCAGAAUUACUGGGCGUAAAGAGCACGUAGGUGGUUUUUUUAAAGUCAGAUGUGAAAUCCCUGGGCUUAACCUGGAAACUGCAUUUUGAAACUGAAAUACUAGAGUAUCGUAGAGGGAGGUAGAAUUCUAGGUGUAGCGGUGAAAUGCGUAGAUAUCUGGAGGAAUACCUGUGGCGAAAGCGGCCUCCUAAACGAAUACUGACACUGAGGGUGCGAAAGCGUGGGGAGCAAACAGGGAUUAGAUACC